RNAcentral lists this ribosomal RNA (519 nucleotides) under uncultured eukaryote. RNAcentral describes it as "SSU rRNA". It matches the Rfam family "Eukaryotic small subunit ribosomal RNA", at positions 1161 to 1705 of the family's 1831-position model. The record is from RNAcentral.
AGGGCACCACCAGGAGUGGAGCCUGCGGCUUAAUUUGACUCAACACGGGAAAACUCACCCGGCCCGGACACCGUGAGGAUUGACAGAUUGAUAGCUUUUUCAUGAUUCGGUGGUUGGUGGUGCAUGGCCGUUCUUAGUUCGUGGAUCGAUUUGUCUGGUUUAUUCCGAUAACGAGCGAGACUCCAGCCUACUAACUAGUGCGAGCAUUGUCUCUGUGCUUGUCACUUCUUAGAGGGAUUGGCUGCGUCUAGCGGCACGAAACGGAGCAAUAACAGGUCUGUGAUGCCCUUAGAUGUCCGGGGCUGCACGCGCGUUACACUGGCAAAAGCAGCGUGCUUGUCCGCCUCCGAAAGGAGCCGGUAAACCCUUGAAAAUUUGCCGUGAUUGGGAUCGGAAAUUGCAAUUAUUUUCCGUGAACGAGGAAUUCCUAGUAAGUGCGAGUCAUCAGCUCGCGUUGAUUACGUCCCUGCCCUUUGUACACACCGCCCGUCGCUGCCUAGAACUGAGCCAUUUCGAGAA